Molecule: ribosomal RNA, 253 nt
Filed under: uncultured bacterium
Lineage: Bacteria
Description: partial 16S ribosomal RNA
Rfam family: Bacterial small subunit ribosomal RNA
Source: RNAcentral
UACAGAGGGCUCAAGCGUUGUUCGGAUUCAUUGGGCGUAAAGGGUGCGUAGGCGGCGCGGUAAGUCGGGUGUGAAAUCUCGGAGCUUAACUCCGAAACUGCAUUCGAUACUGCCGUGCUUGAGGACUGGAGAGGAGACUGGAAUUUACGGUGUAGCGGUGAAAUGCGUAGAUAUCGUAAGGAAGACCAGUGGCGAAGGCGGGUCUCUGGACAGUUCCUGACGCUGAGGCACGAAAGCCAGGGGAGCAAACGGG